RNAcentral lists this ribosomal RNA (265 nucleotides) under uncultured bacterium. RNAcentral describes it as "partial 16S ribosomal RNA". It matches the Rfam family "Bacterial small subunit ribosomal RNA", at positions 524 to 787 of the family's 1533-position model. The record is from RNAcentral.
UACAGAGGUCCCCAAGCGUUGUUCGGAUUCACUGGGCGUAAAGGGCGUGUAGGCGGUCAGGUAAGUGGGAUGUGAAAUGCCCCGGCUCACCCGGGGACCGGCAUCCUAAACUGCCUGGCUUGAGUAUGGGAGAGGAUGAGGGAAUUCCUGGUGUAGCGGUGAAAUGCGUAGAUGUCAGGAGGAACACCGGUAGCGAAGGCGCUCAUCUGGCCCAAUACUGACGCUGAGGCGCGAAAGCUAGGGGAGCAAACGGGAUUAGAUACCC